Molecule: long non-coding RNA, 129 nt
Organism: Amblyraja radiata (thorny skate)
Lineage: Eukaryota; Metazoa; Chordata; Chondrichthyes; Rajiformes; Rajidae
Exons: 3
Source: RefSeq, a predicted model, not a curated record
UCCCUGUGACUGUGUGGGUUUGCUCCGUGUGCUCCGGUUUCCUCCCAAAUUCCAAAGAUGUACAGGUUUGUAGGUUAAUUGCCGUUGGUAAAACAGUAAAUUGUGGUCUAGAUGAGAGGAUGGUGGAGA